UACGUAGGGAGCAAGCGUUGUUCGGAAUCACUGGGCGUAAAGCGCGCGUAGGCGGAUUAGUCAGUCAGAGGUGAAAUCCCGGGGCUCAACCCCGGAACUGCCUUUGAUACUGCUAGUCUUGAGUUCGAGAGAGGUGAGUGGAUUUCCGAGUGUAGAGGUGAAAUUCGUAGAUAUUCGGAGGAACACCAGUGGCGAAGGCGGCUCACUGGCUCGAUACUGACGCUGAGGUGCGAAAGCGUGGGGAGCAAACAGG
Molecule: unclassified non-coding RNA, 253 nt
Filed under: uncultured Rhodobacterales bacterium
Lineage: Bacteria; Pseudomonadati; Pseudomonadota; Alphaproteobacteria; Rhodobacterales
Description: contains 16S-23S intergenic spacer region
Rfam family: Bacterial small subunit ribosomal RNA
Source: RNAcentral